RNAcentral lists this unclassified non-coding RNA (341 nucleotides) under Hevea brasiliensis (rubber tree). The record is from RNAcentral. Lineage: Eukaryota; Viridiplantae; Streptophyta; Magnoliopsida; Malpighiales; Euphorbiaceae.
GACCAAAGCAACUGAGAUGAAAUUAGGGAGCCAGCAUGUCUCUUUUAGAAUGGUAAUAGUGGGCGGCUAGUUGAUAGUGGAGGAAAUAGGAAUAGGCCUGCACUCACAGUUUGAGUGAGAAUACAAAGUAACGAGGACCAUACUCACAGUUUGAGUGAGAAUACUAAGUAAUGGGGACCAUAAUAGAGAGAGAAGUUUGGGAGCUUGUAGACUCCACGCUGCCCCUUACUGUGAUUAGAUCCUCAACCUCCAGUUGUUGUCUAAAGGAAGAAAGUGCCAUCAUGAAAUUAUUCAUCAUCUCUUUUUGUGCAAGAAGCAUCAUAUACAUAUAAUACCCAAAC